CAGUAAUUAGCAGAAUUCAAGGGUAUCUUGAAUUUUCCCUCUAAGUUUGAUUUUCUUGUGGUUUUAUUAAACAGAUACAGAUGGAGGCAGCAGCGUGGUAACACCUCAAAAUCAAGCAUCCAGCAGCUGGAUCCAAAAAACACAGAGAACAAGGUGGUCUCAAAAAUUUGGAGUGAAGCCAGAGGUGAAGUGAGACUUUCUGAAGCUGCAACAAUACCUCUACUCUACUUAAAGCAAUUUCUGAUGUCAUCACCAUGAGAAGGACAUACCACCCCAGAAUAAGGAGAGGCAAAUGGAUUAGACUUGAAAUGAACCCAGAGCCUAGAUUCAAGCACAGCCAAACCCAGCUUGGAUCACGUUCCCAGUCCUGUGCAGAAGAACCGUGAGACCUACAAUAUAUUUCAAUACCUUCUUUCAAGAAAUAAAUGCUCAACUUUGUAAGACA
RNAcentral lists this long non-coding RNA (445 nucleotides) under Pongo abelii (Sumatran orangutan). RNAcentral describes it as "lincRNA". Lineage: Eukaryota; Metazoa; Chordata; Mammalia; Primates; Hominidae. The record is from RNAcentral.